GUACACUCCUGCGGGAGGCAGCAGUGGGGAAUAUUGGACAAUGGGCGCAAGCCUGAUCCAGCCAUGCCGCGUGAGUGAUGAAGGCCCUAGGGUUGUAAAGCUCUUUCACCGGUGAAGAUAAUGACGGUAACCGGAGAAGAAGCCCCGGCUAACUUCGUGCCAGCAGCCGCGGUAAUACGAAGGGGGCUAGCGUUGUUCGGAUUUACUGGGCGUAAAGCGCACGUAGGCGGACUAUUAAGUCAGGGGUGAAAUCCCGGGGCUCAACCCCGGAACUGCCUUUGAUACUGGUAGUCUUGAGUUCGAGAGAGGUGAGUGGAAUUCCGAGUGUAGAGGUGAAAUUCGUAGAUAUUCGGAGGAACACCAGUGGCGAAGGCGGCUCACUGGCUCGAUACUGACGCUGAGGUGCGAAAGCGUGGGGAGCAAACAGGAUUAGAUACCCCUGUAGUCCCAUGA
This 453-nucleotide ribosomal RNA is filed under the name uncultured organism. RNAcentral's name for it is "partial 16S ribosomal RNA". It matches the Rfam family "Bacterial small subunit ribosomal RNA", at positions 331 to 800 of the family's 1533-position model. The record is from RNAcentral.